This is a long non-coding RNA of Canis lupus familiaris (dog), 2098 nucleotides long. RefSeq lists it as uncharacterized. The record is from RefSeq and is a predicted model, not a curated record. The transcript is spliced from 4 exons. NCBI's taxonomy places the organism in Eukaryota, Metazoa, Chordata, Mammalia, Carnivora, Canidae.
AUCUUUUUUUCCCUUAGUCUGUGAGAACAGCCUUUCCCUUUUAAAAAUAUUUACCAUGUGAAACUGGAAACGGUGAACUCCAGGUUCAACUUUACUUUUUUUUAUUCAACUUGGCUUUAUGAGCUAAUGUAAGUCCAUUUACUUCUUGAAGCCCCAGUUUCCUUAUCUGUAGGGUGAAGGGCAUGAUGGAACAACCCAGCACACGAAGGGUUGCUCACCUGUGGCUCUCAAGUUCUUGCACCUGUCUCCCAUUCCCUGAAUUCUAGGUCUCUCUCUCAGGAUGGUUGAGGAUUAUCAUUCUUUGUCCUUGUUUUUCUUCACCUUCUCCCUCACUCUCCGUCUUUUGUUUUCCACCAGGAAAGGCAAGGCCAGACUCUUCACUCAGCAGAGGCAGUGUUUGUUGACAUUUGGGAAAAAAAAUUGAAGAGAAAAGUCAAAGAUCCUUCAAAAUCAUGGUGUUUGAAUAUUUAAAGACGAUGAAUGCUAGAAACAUUGACAGGUCCUGUGUCAGGCUUCAUUCUGAUCCCUUGGCCCAUUAUUUAGUCUCUAAAAACAAAAGUAGCUCCACUUCCAGGGGCCUUGUGCAGAACAAAUGUGCUAUUCAGCUUUCCUGCCCAACCGCUCCCUCCCCCCGCUGCCCUGCUGCCCUGCUGCUAUAAUUCUAGGACUCUUCCUCACCCUGGGUGUAUCCGGGGUGGGUGAGGGAGCCGAGAUGGGAGGAGGACCGGGUAGAUGGGCUCUGGGAUCCCCACCCCCACCACCUUCACUAUUUUUCCAUAUUGGGGUUCUGUGUAAGAUUUCACUGGAGAAAAGGGAUUGUAAUACUAGAAAAUGCAUGAAAGCCUCUGUCUGCUGACCCAGGGUCAGAUCUCAGUCUGGGUGUGGGGCCUAGCAGGUUGUACUGAUUCAGUGGCAUGACUCUUGUCAAUAAAAAAGAAUACAAAUUACUAAUGCUCGCUGUUCUUACUCUCAGCCAAAUCAUGAUGGAAGAGUAGGGUUCUUGGGCUGGCCUGCUCACCAUUUUUCCCUGGCCACAGGCUGGGGGUCAAAUUCCUUGGCAAGAGCUAGGAUGGAGCUGUUGAUAACAUUGCCAUGGACAUUAAUGGCCUUGGACCCCACUUAUUAUGUGCUUGCUAGGAGGCCACACACAACAGGACAGGGGGCAGGGAAUUCUGCUUGUCCCAAACACCCCUGUCCUCUUAUCCCCAGAUCCAAUAAUAAUAAUAAUUAUUAUUUUUUUUCCCCAGAGAACCAUCUGGUCAGCCCAGACAUGGAAAAUCAUGGGACACAGGAAGGCAGGUGGUGUCAAGCAGAGACAGUGUGGAAGUCCCCAGUCUGAUAGACCUGAGUUUGAGGCCCAUCCUGUUGCUUAGCUAGCAACAGCCCUGAAGCAGCUAAAUGGGCCCAGUGCCAUGUUACAUCCUAUGGGCAAUAAAAAGGAAUUUGCAUCUUGGUUUGGGAGAAAAAAAUCUUAAUUUCUGGGUAGCUGGAUAGUUCUCUGACUUUCUUCACCUCUACGCCCUCAACAAGCCACAAAGAAACCCAGAAGUUGAGGAGGAGUUGCUGGGCACAGUACCUUCCACCGGCAGGAAGUUUCAAUUACCCCUCGUCAAGGAUCCUCCUCCUGGUCAAGGAUCCUCCUCCUGACAAAUCAUCAAAUCAUGGAGUCAUCGGAAGGUCAAUGGUAGCCUAACGUUACAUCACAACGCCUGCGGUAUUUACUGCGACUCACUUCAUCUCAUCUCGUAGGCAUUUUAUCAGCUCACGUCAUCACAAGAAGGGUGCAGAGGUGGGUUGAUGGCCACAAGGCUAAAACCAGCAGCUGUCCAGGUUCUUGACCUCUCGUUACAGAUGACCCUCCACAUGGUCUAGCUGGUUGAGAAGAUUGCUGGAGAACUGUUCUGAUUAUAAGAUGGGGACAAGCAAAGGGCAAUUGUAAGGAAACCAACAGAGUGAGGAAAAUUUAGGGAAAAGAAAGUAACAAAGGGAUGUCCUCUAAUGCAUUCAUCUCCUAAAUUUUACUAAUUCUUCUAACAUGAGAGGCUUUUUCAUAUUCUACAGGUAGCAGUUAAUAGGAAAAAAUGACAUUCUAGUUCUA